UUUUAAGUUUGUUCAGUUCCUCCACGUCCUUGAUGAUUAUCAUUGGAUCUGGAUACCAGUGAUCGCUCUUCCUUUCUACAUACCUGCAUUUGGUAAUGCAGAGGCAAAUCAGAAUGUCGGGCCAGUUUCCUAAAUAUCAGGCAGCAUGACAUGGGAAAAGGGAAAGUGAAGAAUAAUAAAUUAAAGGAUAUAUGCAUCAUCAUACCGUUUUAUUUUCUCUUUGAAUGUGGCAAUCU
Molecule: long non-coding RNA, 236 nt
Filed under: Vitis vinifera (wine grape)
Lineage: Eukaryota; Viridiplantae; Streptophyta; Magnoliopsida; Vitales; Vitaceae
Description: long non-coding RNA (VVIN_LNC005877)
Source: RNAcentral